Molecule: long non-coding RNA, 1437 nt
Filed under: Olea europaea (common olive)
Lineage: Eukaryota; Viridiplantae; Streptophyta; Magnoliopsida; Lamiales; Oleaceae
Description: long non-coding RNA (OEUR_LNC011220)
Source: RNAcentral
GUUGAUGAAUUUAAUCCGAUCAUAGUUUCUACUUAUGGACAAGCAAGAAAAGCAGCACCUGUAUUUUGGCAUGAAGAGAUCAAAUUCUUUGGCAGGAAUUAUCAACUUUAUAAUGUAUUAAUAAAUGCCCAUCUCUUUUUCAUCAAUCCUUUAGAUACAAUGAAUUCAACUGAGCGAUUGAUUUCUACUGACUUACCUAAUAUACCAAAUGCUUUCAUCUUUCUUCAUCUUACAAUCAAGAAGAAAUAUGACACUGUUCGGAGGCAGAGUGGCUGGCUAACAAAGUUCCACUAUAUACCAUUCAAUAAUAACAAUUUUCUCCACUCUUUAUUUUCAUUACUCAACUCUCCCCCAAAUUUGUGAACGCUGAGAUUCUUAAGUAGUGAAUCGCAACCAUUUUUCGUGGAUGAUGUUGUCUUUUUGGUUGCCCAGCGCCUGAAGAUCAACCUCAUCAAUCCCACUCCAGAUGCAUCUAAAAUUGCAGACUGAGAUAUUAAUUGACUGAGUAAAUAAAUAAUGUCCUAUUCAAAUAUAUCGUACCACUCUUACUACAAAAGGAGAUGAAAUUCAUACGGCAAGCAAAACCAUACAUGAGUGGUCUUGUAAAUAUGCUCCUCGAUACUUAACCUUCUAUAGACUGACGUUACAAAAUUCAUUGUAUUGAUUAACAACGCUAGAGUAGAAAACCUAGCGAAAAACCAAAUUUAUUAAUCAAAUAACUUGUUUCAAAGUAUGUAUGCAAAUGCAAAUGUUGAACCAAGAACUAUUAUAAUUGACAUAAACUUUAGAUGUGAAGCAUUUUCAUCGUAAAGGACAUAUCUAGCAUAUUGAUGUGAAACUAUGAGAUUAUACUAUCUUAUCCAUUUUGCCCUUUUUCAAUUAUGAUGUUGUCAGUAGAGAACAAGGAAUUUCUGCAAUAUAUAAAACCUACCUAGUAGGAAAUUCAAGAUUUCAGCUCAAUUUUUUAAAAUUAUUAGCAUAGUUUAAUGAAAUAAUCCACUCUAUAAGAAUAUAAAAUUAAUUGCCAUCUUAAAGAAGUAGUCAAAUUGUUUACCAUAAAUCAAAACUUAAGAAACUGCAGAUGGAUUGUUGAAAAAUAAUUAGUUGUAGUAACUUGCAGAAUCUUGUAGAAUAUUAAAAUGCAGAAAUAGAACUUAUUGACUGAUCGAGUCUCAUGAUAACACGAUAUCCUAAAAUGAAAUUACCCACCAGUAACUGCAGUGACCUUUGUGGACAAUCACUCACAAGACACAACGAUCAAACAAACCCCUUGUGCAAUAAUCACAAAUGAUUUCAAAACUCCCAAAUGUACUUCAGAAAAAGAUGUAAAACUCGAGUAUAGCAAUUACAAAAUAUGAAAAUUAUAAUUUCAAUUUUUGAUGUAUUUUUUCCAAAAUCGUAUGAGUGUUUAUAUACGUAGAAUAGAUAACUGUCUCC